GAUGAACGCUGGCGGCGUGCCUAAUACAUGCAAGUCGAGCGAACAGACGAGGAGCUUGCUCCUCUGACGUUAGCGGCGGACGGGUGAGUAACACGUGGAUAACCUACCUAUAAGACUGGGAUAACUUCGGGAAACCGGAGCUAAUACCGGAUAAUAUAUUGAACCGCAUGGUUCAAUAGUGAAAGACGGUUUUGCUGUCACUUAUAGAUGGAUCCGCGCCGCAUUAGCUAGUUGGUAAGGUAACGGCUUACCAAGGCAACGAUGCGUAGCCGACCUGAGAGGGUGAUCGGCCACAAGGGAACUGAGACACGGUCCAGACUCCUACGGGAGGCAGCAGUAGGGAAUCUUCCGCAAUGGGCGAAAGCCUGACGGAGCAACGCCGCGUGAGUGAUGAAGGCCUUCGGAUCGUAAAACUCUGUUAGUAGGGAAGAACAAAUGUGUAAGUAACUAUGCACGUCUUGACGGUACCUAAUCAGAAAGCCACGGCUAACUACGUG
This 497-nucleotide ribosomal RNA is filed under the name uncultured bacterium. RNAcentral describes it as "partial 16S ribosomal RNA". It matches the Rfam family "Bacterial small subunit ribosomal RNA", at positions 28 to 507 of the family's 1533-position model. The record is from RNAcentral.